GGCCUGUCUGAGGCGGCGCAGCGUAGAGUCAAUAUCAGCCUCAUCGCCAUCUGGAGGAAGAUCAUCCUCUUCAUCCCAGGACCAGGUGUCAGGAUCUCCAGAGGAAGAGCACCAUCCCAGACUCCCCGUCUUUGGAGAAAGUGCAGCCACUCUGCUGUAAACACCAGAGGGUGCUGGGAUUCGGGAACCAGGACCUCCUGGACAUUGCGGCCACCCAAAGCUAGACACUUGAGGGCCAGGCGGGGACAGCGCGUGGAGAAUGGCACCACUUGCAGGUAGAAGUCAUUGCUUCUUAAGAGCCUCCAGUCAAGAGUAGAAAGCUGGACCACCACCUUCUCGCCCAAACACAGAGGCCAACCCGAGUGCAGGAACAAACAGCCCAAAUACUGAGACUGAAAAAGAGAGAGUGCUGUAACAAAACUGGCUUUCAAAUGUUUGAGUCCACUACCAAGAAUUCCUGUUUUUUUAAUCAAUAAUUUAAAAAAUUUACUCUCUGGAUAUGUAUAAUCAUCUUUUUUUAUAGUAUUACUAUUACUAUACUAUUUAUACUAUACUUACUAUACUAUUUCAGUAAAAAGUAAACCUUUUAACACCAUGGAACAUAAUUUAAUCAUGUUCGAAAAAUAUAAGUGGUGAGAAAUAUGGUUCUGGACCCACCAGAAAUAUCAGCACAUGUUUAAUAGACACAUUUAGAGAUUUAGUGCAUCUUCAACUUUUUGUUCCAUCUUACUUUCCAGUAAAUUUGCUUUGAACCAGUUUACCAGGAGAAACUUUUUAAAAGCGAGAACCCAGCACUCAAAAAAUAACCACAAAUAAAACAAGCUCUUGUGUCCCAAAGCUAAAUUCACCUAACAUCAUUACCAUUAUGACCCAUCAUCCACCUUUUCUCCAUUCUUGUGUCCUGUUAAAGAUCCUUCUCUUCAAUCACUAUAAGCAACCUAAGUUCUGCUGGAUUCUCAGUUUACUUCAAGUUUAAUUAUCCAGUGACAUACUCCCCUGCUCUCCAACCUUCUCCGUCAUUUCACACACUCAUAAGACCAAAUUAUAUUAUGGAACACACACAGCUCCACUUUCAUUUACUCUUCCCUCUGUCUUCUUCUGUCCAACUCCACCCUUCUCUUUAGAGCUGUAUUUUAUAUCAUUCUUUCUUAGUCAUUUUGUGAGACAUAAAAAAAAAUAUUCAGUGGAAACUUUCCACUUCAAUAGUCAUUUUAUUUGAAUCCAUCUAUUAAGUUUCCUCUACUACACUCUCUAUCUGCCUCAGCGCCUCAGUCCCACUUUCUCAAUGUGUGCCUUAGUAUUCUGUUACUUUAUCCCUCCCCCUAUUUCUCAAUAAAUCCUCUAUAGCCCCAGACUCCUCUCUCUCUCUCAUUCUCUUUUUGCUCCCUUUUCCCUUUUUAACUUCUUUCUCACACAAGUAGCAGCCAAGCCCCCUUUCCUUCACCACCCCCUUCUCUCUUAGACACACAUAUGGUAAGAAUUAUAGCAUGACUCAUAGCUCGUGUCCCAGUCAGUUCCUCAUAGCGACAAUGAAAACAGAGCCAGCAGAAAAUGUGUGUGAGAGAAUUUUGGUGUAUGAAUGAAUAAAAUAUACUCAUAUGUAAUCAUACAGUGGUGUGUGUGUGUAUCUGUGUGAAAGCAUGAGGAAAAAUAUGUGUAUGUUUAGUGUAAGAAUGUAUAUCAGUAUGUUGUUGAGUAAGACACACUGUUUAAAACAUUACCAUGAAUGAUCACAGAGUGAAUAUCUGAAAAUACAGACAGAGAGAAGAGAGAAUAUGCGGCUUACAAGAAAACCACAUCAGGAUUCAAUGAGUGAAUAAGCGACUUUGUGAAUGAGACAGCAUAUACAUUAUGUUUAAUGAAUGAAACAGGACAGUCAUUGAUUAUAUCCUUAUAACAGCACGCCCCAACGUGUUUUAUUCCUCUUAUACUGCAGCAAUUUGCCAAUGAUUACAUUUAUUUAUUUGUCAGUGAAUGACUGUUUUAGUUACAUUUUGUUGUGGAACGUCCACAAGACAAAUUAGUUCCUGUUAUCAUUUACGUCACGCAGCUAUAAACAGUCGUUCCCUCUCCAGACUCAUUUUUUUUCUCUCGUUAUUUUAGACAAAAAUUGCAGAGAAACCGGAAAGUCCUCUGUCCUGAAAACUCUCCUUUGGCAAAAACAUACUGUUCCAAAGUGCUGAUGUGGUGACUCUUUCUACUAAAACUGAAUUUAAGCAGCCCUUUGCUAUAUGAAUGAAGCAAUUUACUAUUGUUGGGUGAGUGUGCAUACUUACACAAGCAUGCUGCUGGAGUCUGUGUAGAAGAUGUUUGGCCGGGAUGAAGAAAUCCAGCAGAUACCUUAAACUGUCAUGCUGAUAGGUGGACUCCAAUACAGAAAAAACCUGAAGACACACACAGACAACUGAUAUCGUAAAAAUGGUACUAAGAAGAAGAAAAGAAGAUAUAAAAUGUAAAACAUUGCAUGAUUUAGAGCAGAUGUAUUGAAUUCAUUCUUUGGACGCCUAAACUGCACAUCUGUAUUCUUAAUCAACUCCUGCAGUUCUAUUUGAUGUUAUACCAGAACUAUCUACUUUAAAGUGCGUUGAUAAUACUGGCGCUAAUGAAAAAUUGCAUGAUUUUUCCAACACUUGAUUUUUAAAAUUCUUUUUCCAAUACUUUUCCAGGUGUGGAAAAAAAUGAAAUGUAAUUUCCUGUGAUGGUUCCAGAAUUUCCACAACCAUGGAGUCCCUGAGAGAACCACUGACCUGGGAUAGAAGAGGGGGUGCAGUGCUCUCAAAUGGGGGAUAGAGGGAGGAGAGCGCCCCCUGCACACAGUCCUCCACCGCCUCCGAACCCUGGGAUAAAGCGAACAAGAAAAUGAAGAUUAAAAAAUAUUAGUGCUUGAUAACUCAGCCUCUGCACAAAGGCCUUCUGUAUGUGGGCACACAACUACCAGCACUGUGGCAGACAAAACAAGCACACCAAACUAUGUGCUGGACUCAACAGCUUAAAGACACACCACCAUAUAACUGGAGUUUCCUUGGAUUGUCUCUGGAUCACAUUGUUUCUGCUGGAAUCAGACUGUACAGUCUGCUGAAUCGCUCGAAAGGAAGAGAAAGGGGAAACGCUUGAAAUGACUAGGGCAUGAGACACAGUUGCAAAAUUUAUUUUGAUAUUAUUAGUCUAGUAUUAAGUACUGAUGAAAUUGUCUGAUAUCUUAUGUAAGUGUUAUGAGGAAAUCUGACCUAUUGAUUACUGCUAUUAUUACUUGAUCCAAACCUGCAUCCAUUAAGUUUAAUGAUUAUUUCUACACUAAACAGCAAUAGUAAGUGCUAUAUAUAAAUACUGUUUAUGCAUUACCAAUAAUUAGAUUUUUUUUAAAUCAUCAUUUCAGUAAGAAAAUAAUUUUUUCCUACUGUAUGUGUUUCUUUUUUUUUUUUUUUUUUUUUUUUGUGGUGGCCUGGAGUUACCAGCGUUUAAUAUGCUUAAACUCUCCUUUUUUUUUUUUUUUUUUCCCCAGAUACAUACAUUAUGAAGAAAACAUAAUAUAAAAAACAUAAUUUGACCAUAUGUAGGGUUUAUCCAGACCACGACCACCACAUAUAUUUUACCUGCUUCAAUUUUAUUUUGUGCUGAAAGAGAAAGCAAAAUAGAAAAAAAUAUUCUCUAGAGAGCUAUUGCCCUUUUCAUGCAAUGUGCAUUGUAUUUUGCUUGAGCUUUGUGGUUGAAAUGGCUCCUCUGUUUGAGUUGUUAGUUUUACUGCCACUGCAUUUUUCAAGUUGAAUGAUAAACAGUCAGAUCGGCAUUGAGCGGGACAAUAAUUUGUCAUGUGUCCCCUUUGACACAAAAGUGCCUUUUAAAAGCUCAAAACAACUUAUUCAAUAGGCUGAAAGUGCAGAGAGUACUCUAUUAAUAAAUAGUCAGGUUGAGGGUUAGAUAUUCGCAAAGUUAUUGUUAUACUGUAUUAUCUCUCUGCUAUAAUAAAUUG
Molecule: long non-coding RNA, 3970 nt
Organism: Pangasianodon hypophthalmus (striped catfish)
Lineage: Eukaryota; Metazoa; Chordata; Actinopteri; Siluriformes; Pangasiidae
Exons: 3
Source: RefSeq, a predicted model, not a curated record